This 107-nucleotide small nuclear RNA is filed under the name Propithecus coquereli (Coquerel's sifaka). The record is from RNAcentral. Lineage: Eukaryota; Metazoa; Chordata; Mammalia; Primates; Indriidae.
GUGCUCACUUCAGCAGCACAUAUACUAAAGUUGGAACAAUACAGCGAAGAUUAGUGUGGCCCCUACGCAAGGAUGACACGCAAAUUCGUGAAGCGUUCCAUACUUAA